UGUAAGCGUAUACCAAAGUUGUUGCAGUUAAAACGCUCGUAGUCGGAAUUUGGCAGUUCCGGAUGUGUGCGCGUCGUGUGCGCACUUCGCGGGGAUUGCUUUUGUGGUCUUGCGUAGGAUGAGGCACUUUUAUUAGUGAACGUCCUCACGCAACCACUUUUUACUGUGAGAAAAUCAGAGUGCUCAAAGCAGGCACUUGCCGUGAAUGUAUUAGCAUGGAAUAAUAGAAUAGGACUUGGUUCUAUUUUGUUGGUUUGUUGGGACUGAGUAAUGAUUAAGAGGGACAGUUGGGGGCAUUUGUAUUUCGGUGCUAGAGGUGAAAUUCUUAGAUUACCGAAAGACAAACUGCUGCGAAAGCGUCUGCCAAGGAUGUUUUCAUUGA
This 382-nucleotide ribosomal RNA is filed under the name uncultured eukaryote. RNAcentral describes it as "partial 18S ribosomal RNA". It matches the Rfam family "Eukaryotic small subunit ribosomal RNA", at positions 592 to 976 of the family's 1831-position model. The record is from RNAcentral.